AUGGGGUUGCAAGAGAUGGCGAAGCUGCAGCUGCACCGCCAUGGCGGCAUGCGAGUGGAAGCCCACGCCCCCGUCGACGACGACCAGGCGGCGGUCCGCGGGAGGAGGAAGAAGGCGACGGCGGCAGCGGUCUGGAUUGCAGUGCCGCUCAGGCCCGUCAAGGUCGGCCGCCGAAGACACGGCGGCGGCGACAGCAGCGGCGAGGCAGGGGAGGUGGAGGAGAAGGAAGUGGAAGAGGAGGAGGAGGUGACGACGCCGAGAGGGGAAGGGUGCAGGAUACCCUGGGAGGCGGCGACGUGCCCGCCGGCGCCCAAGAAGGCGAGGACGGCGGUGGCGAUCUUCGCCGACCGCCGGUGCAACCGCGACGACGGGGAGGCGACAGAGUACUUCCGCGUGCCGGCGGACCUGGACUCCGUGUUCGCCGUCAGCCGGGUCGCCGAGGCCAACUGA
RNAcentral lists this ribosomal RNA (450 nucleotides) under Triticum aestivum (bread wheat). Its description in RNAcentral is "partial small subunit ribosomal RNA". Lineage: Eukaryota; Viridiplantae; Streptophyta; Magnoliopsida; Poales; Poaceae. The record is from RNAcentral.